Molecule: ribosomal RNA, 674 nt
Filed under: Enterococcus faecium
Lineage: Bacteria; Bacillati; Bacillota; Bacilli; Lactobacillales; Enterococcaceae
Description: bacterial SSU rRNA
Rfam family: Bacterial small subunit ribosomal RNA
Source: RNAcentral
AUUAAGCACUCCGCCUGGGGAGUACGACCGCAAGGUUGAAACUCAAAGGAAUUGACGGGGGCCCGCACAAGCGGUGGAGCAUGUGGUUUAAUUCGAAGCUACGCGAAGAACCUUACCAGGUCUUGACAUCUUGCGCCAACCCUAGAGAUAGGGCGUUUCCUUCGGGAACGCAAUGACAGGUGGUGCAUGGUCGUCGUCAGCUCGUGUCGUGAGAUGUUGGGUUAAGUCCCGCAACGAGCGCAACCCUUGUUACUAGUUGCCAGCAUUAAGUUGGGCACUCUAGUGAGACUGCCGGUGACAAACCGGAGGAAGGUGGGGACGACGUCAGAUCAUCAUGCCCCUUAUGACCUGGGCUACACACGUGCUACAAUGGACGGUACAACGAGUCGCGAACUCGCGAGGGCAAGCAAAUCUCUUAAAACCGUUCUCAGUUCGGACUGCAGGCUGCAACUCGCCUGCACGAAGUCGGAAUCGCUAGUAAUCGCGGAUCAGCAUGCCGCGGUGAAUACGUUCCCGGGCCUUGUACACACCGCCCGUCACACCAUGAGAGUUUGUAACACCCAAAGUCGGUGGGGUAACCUUUUAGGAGCCAGCCGCCUAAGGUGGGACAGAUGAUUAGGGUGAAGUCGUAACAAGGUAGCCGUAGGAGAACCUGCGGCUGGAUCACCUCCUUU